RNA transcript from Musa acuminata AAA Group (dessert banana), 1044 nucleotides. RefSeq lists it as uncharacterized. NCBI's taxonomy places the organism in Eukaryota, Viridiplantae, Streptophyta, Magnoliopsida, Zingiberales, Musaceae. The record is from RefSeq and is a predicted model, not a curated record. The transcript has 3 exons.
CGUCAACACCAGACGAUCCCCAGAAAGGCCCUUAUACCAAUUGAAGUGGAAAACCUCCCCAAGUUAUCGACCAAACCACCCUUCCUUCCCUCUUCCAACGUCCCCCACCUUCCCCUUUCCCCAUCUAAUCCAACACCAUGACCGUCUUGUCUUCCUCCUCCUCCCCUUCUUCUGUUCAACUUCUUCUCCUCUUGUUUUCUCUUCUCCUCGCAUCCCUCACCGCCCAAUCCCCCGGCUCCCCGCCCACCGGCACUACCAUCUACGACCUCCUCCCCGAGUACGGCCUCCCGUCGGGCCUCCUCCCCGACACCGUCAAGUCCUUCUCCCUCGCGGAGAACGGGAGCUUCGCCGUCGAGCUCUCCGGCCCCUGCUACAUCGACUUCGAAUACCUCGUCUACUACGAGCCCAAGAUCUCCGGCGUCGUCAAGUACGGCGGCAUCGAGGACCUCAAGGGCGUCAAGGUGCGCCGUUUCCUCAUCUGGUUCGAUGUGGAUGCCAUCAAGGUCGACCUGCCUCCCUCCGAGUACAUCUACUUCCAGGUGGGGUGGAUUACCCGCAAGCUCCACGUCGAUCAGUUCCAGACGGUGCAUUCGUGCAAGGCGACUCAGGGGUUCCUGGAAAGCGCCGAGGAGGUUUUCGAUUGGUCGAUAUAGUUUUGAUCCUAAAGUAAGAGUAGCAAACUCACUUGAAAUGUACGACUUUGGUCCAUAGACUAAGCAUGGAGAAAUUUGUCGGAUUAGUGAUCCUGAGAGUUAACAUUGGACUUGUUCAGGGUGACCCAUGCCAAAUACAGAUACUGAGCCAUAGAGGGAUAGUUGAUCCCACGACUCUGUGAUAUCUCCCAGCCAAUGCCAUAGAUCAAGCUGGAGACCAUUGAAAGAUACAGUUAGGCAAUUCAAGGCAGCCUAGCUAGCGAUGUAACUGUCAUUUUGGCAUCUCUACAACCGUAUGAACCUUUGGCAUGAAGAUAUCCUUCCUUAUGUCACUUACCUAAGCUUCUUAAGUGGUGGUUCAAUCCAUCUAAAUAACAUUACUCUUUCUUUC